UAGCAAACAGGAUUAGAUACCCUGGUAGUCCACGCCCUAAACGAUGCCAACUAGGUGUUGGGGAAGGAGACUUCCUUAGUACCGUAGCUAACGCGUGAAGUUGGCCGCCUGGGGAGUACGGUCGCAAGAUUAAAACUCAAAGGAAUUGACGGGGACCCGCGCAAGCGGUGGAUGAUGUGGAUUAAUUCGAUGCAACGCGAAAAACCUUACCUACCCUUGACAUGCCAGGAAUCCCGGAGAGAUUUGGGAGUGCCCGAAAGGGAGCCUGGACACAGGUGCUGCAUGGCUGUCGUCAGCUCGUGUCGUGAGAUGUUGGGUUAAGUCCCGCAACGAGCGCAACCCUUGUCAAUAGUUGCCAUCAUUUAGUUGGGCACUCUAUUGAGACUGCCGGUGACAAACCGGAGGAAGGUGGGGAUGACGUCAAGUCCUCAUGGCCCUUAUGGGUAGGGCUUCACACGUCAUACAAUGGUCGGUACAGAGGGUUGCCAAGCCGCGAGGUGGAGCCAAUCCCAGAAAGCCGAUCGUAGUCCGGAUCGGAGUCUGCAACUCGACUCCGUGAAGUCGGAAUCGCUAGUAAUCGUGGAUCAGCAUGCCACGGUGAAUACGUUCCCGGGUCUUGUACACACCGCCCGUCACACCAUGGGAGUGGGUUUCACCAGAAGUAGGUAGCCUAACCGCAAGGAGGGCGCUUACCACGGUGGGAUUCAUGACUGG
This 714-nucleotide ribosomal RNA is filed under the name uncultured bacterium. RNAcentral describes it as "bacterial SSU rRNA". It matches the Rfam family "Bacterial small subunit ribosomal RNA", at positions 766 to 1478 of the family's 1533-position model. The record is from RNAcentral.